GGCCGAGCGGGAGCUGAAGGGUCUGCUUGCCCCGGAUUUGGAGUGUCCGUUACCUGCUUGCAUUUGGGGAGUCCCUCCUCCCGCGAUCUCCUCCGCCCCCUCUCUGCUCUCCCUGCCCUUACCCUCCCCCAGCCUAGAGGUCUGGGGUGCUGCGUGUGGACACAGGAGAAGAUGGCGGGGGAGAAGGGGGGAGCAUUUGGGUGAGCGGGCAGUGAGGGGAAGGAAAGCGGAGACUGGAGGAGGGGUUUUGAGGAGCAGGAUGGUUCUGGGGGCUAGGGUGGGGGGAGACUCGGGAACGGUAGGGAAAUGAACUGUUUUUGACCAGAGACACUUAUCAAAAUCUCCUGGGGACCAAGGAACCACGUACAAAAGCAAACCUACCAACCACCAAAAACUAGACAAAUAAAGACAAACUAAAACAGAACAGGACAAAAACAAAGAAAAAGUGCUUUACAAAUUUAGCUCCGGGGAGCCGUAUUCUGCAGCUUCAUUCCCCCCUAAGGAAGAGAAAAAAGAGCACCACCAUUACUACCACCGCCCCAACCCUACACACACAAACUUAGUCAGAAACCGAAAACCAAACGAACCAGAAAUUCUGGGUAGCGAGCUAGUUGUUCUGUCUGUGUGUUUAAUUAAUUUUCCCUCUAAAUCUCACCUCCACCCCGUUCAUGUCCUCUUUGAUUUAUUUUUCUCCGUUCCAAUGAGACUCCGAUGGCUGCUCUCCAUUGCCACAAAAUCUAGAAGAUGGACUGUUUCAAAACUGCUGGGGUGGAAGACACUAGGAAAUACUCUGUCCCGUUUUCUCCACAGAGCAAGUUCCAUCAUGCCCUUCUGGGUCUCCUUUCCUUCUCUCUUGGACAACAUGAAAUCACUGAAAUAUUGAGAAGUUUCUGCUUUCAGUUGGAGCAGGGCUUGGCUGUGAGAAAAACCAACUAAAUCUCAGAUGAAAGGAAGACAGGUUUAAAGGCCUCCGUUUGUUUCAAAAGGGUCUGCAUGUUGGGGGGUGGGGGAAGCAGAACAACUGUGUUUCAUUAUUAUUAUUAUUAUUAUUAUUAUUCAACAGUAAUUUAUUGCUGGGGACAAAUGUUGGGUAGCAAGAACUUUAAUUUGCACUAUCAGUCUCCCAAAUAGAAAAUCAUGUAUAGUAUUUCAUAGUAAUAAUCAAGCAACUUUAUGAACUGCUGAUGAAUAAAAAAGUGAGAAAGACAGUUGAAGGUGGUUAGGUAACAUGCCUGCUUGGUGCACAAGAUACUCUUUUUAAUCUCUUGUGGAGGUGGUUUCUUACCAUCUUUUAAUAAGAAUUAAAAAAUUGGAAACAGAACAAAUAAGAAAAGGAAAAAACCUGCCAUUUAAUAAGACUGAAGUCAUGCAUGUUCUGAAAGGUGCAGAAAGAAACACAAUUAGGUCUCACUCUGGUUAGGCAUUAUUUAUUUAAUUACGUUGUAUAUCAUUGUUUGCAGCGCAAACAUCCUAUGCAUUUGAAACUGAGCACUAUACUGGGCUAGCUUUCUGAUAGACUGUUUUGUGGAUAGUGUGAUUUCACAGUCUACUGCCUGUUUUCACCGAAAACACAACAUUCUUGUCCUAUUCUUGUAUUUAGAGGAAAAGGAAAAAAGGAAGAUUAUUGUAAAUAUUUUCUUUAAUGCACACACUCACAGAGUGGUUACAAACUGCCAGUGUUAAUCCUGGGACGUCUCACAGAUUGAUCUACCUGUCCAUGUAUGUCUGCUGAGCUUUCUUCUAGGUUAUGUCCUUGCUCUAUUACCUUUCCCCUCCCCACUUCUAUCAGAACCAUUUCUGUGCGCCAAAAUACAACAGGGGGAUGUGUCCCAGUACACUUACCAAUAAAACAUAACUGAAAGAAGAGCAAUUUUAUGAUUUGGGUGCAUUUUUGUGUUUU
Molecule: long non-coding RNA, 1900 nt
Organism: Equus asinus (donkey)
Lineage: Eukaryota; Metazoa; Chordata; Mammalia; Perissodactyla; Equidae
Source: Ensembl